GCCUCUGGUUGUAAGGUUUUUAAGAAGGCUGAGAACAAGAGGAAAGAUUCACUCGUAAUGAAUAGGUCGUCGGUUCAAUUCCGACCAGCGGCUCCA
Molecule: transfer RNA, 96 nt
Filed under: Akkermansiaceae bacterium
Lineage: Bacteria; Pseudomonadati; Verrucomicrobiota; Verrucomicrobiia; Verrucomicrobiales; Akkermansiaceae
Description: tRNA-Leu
Source: RNAcentral